Molecule: long non-coding RNA, 736 nt
Filed under: Chrysemys picta bellii (western painted turtle)
Lineage: Eukaryota; Metazoa; Chordata; Testudines; Emydidae
Description: lncRNA (ENSCPBG00000025347.1)
Source: RNAcentral
AUAAUAAUAAAUCUUAAAUAGUGUGAUUUUGAAUAAAUGUGUGCCACUUCAGAUUUUAAGAUCUAAGGUUCAGAUUAUAGAUGCCUCCCUGUUACUUUCAGUUUGAACAUGUUGCUUUUUCUCUUCCCUCAGCUUCUUUGAAGAUGGAAGGGUUGAGGGAAUACGUGGCCAAAUAUUAUUUCCAUCCCUCUAUCAAUUCUCUGACUUUUGACCUGGUGUUUCUAAGCAUACCUGAGAUGAGAGUUAAUUUUCCUACCAAAACUGUGCUGUCAGUUGGGUCUAAUUGCUUAGCUGCACGAGAAAAUGUUCCUGGAAUCUAAUGAUGUCAUGUCCUGAGAAGAUGUGAAAUAUGAGCUUAAAUUUAUUUCUCCAUAACUUAUUCAAGGUUUUUGUUUUUUUCAGUGUUAUGGCAGUAACAUCAGCUGAGAGAAACUCUGUCUUGCCAUUUGUGGUGUCCCUAUGUGUGAAGCAAGAUCAAAAAUACAGUGCUGGGAACAAAGGCACCCAAACCUUGGACUGUUUGCAAGAGGAAACAGAUACAAUUUGUGCCAGAGGUUUGGCAGCUGGGUUUACUCAGAGCUUCAGGACUACUGGACUGAAAUGUUUUCAGCUCCUAAAAUUGGCCACAGGUGGAACUGUUGACUCCAAGCACCCUUUCACCUCUGCCCCAGUGCUGAGCAUGUUGCCUCCACAGCCCACCCAGGGCCUGCUGGCCUGAAGAAAAGAUUGACAUAAG